Molecule: ribosomal RNA, 825 nt
Filed under: Klebsiella pneumoniae
Lineage: Bacteria; Pseudomonadati; Pseudomonadota; Gammaproteobacteria; Enterobacterales; Enterobacteriaceae
Description: partial 23S ribosomal RNA
Rfam family: Bacterial large subunit ribosomal RNA
Source: RNAcentral
UCAUCUUCGGGGGUAGAGCACUGUUUCGGCUAGGGGGUCAUCCCGACUUACCAACCCGAUGCAAACUACGAAUACCGAAGAAUGUUAUCACGGGAGACACACGGCGGGUGCUAACGUCCGUCGUGAAGAGGGAAACAACCCAGACCGCCAGCUAAGGUCCCAAAGUCAUGGUUAAGUGGGAAACGAUGUGGGAAGGCACAGACAGCCAGGAUGUUGGCUUAGAAGCAGCCAUCAUUUAAAGAAAGCGUAAUAGCUCACUGGUCGAGUCGGCCUGCGCGGAAGAUGUAACGGGGCUAAACCAUGCACCGAAGCUGCGGCAGCGACACUAUGUGUUGUUGGGUAGGGGAGCGUUCUGUAAGCCUGCGAAGGUGACCUGUGAGGGUUGCUGGAGGUAUCAGAAGUGCGAAUGCUGACAUAAGUAACGAUAAAGCGGGUGAAAAGCCCGCUCGCCGGAAGACCAAGGGUUCCUGUCCAACGUUAAUCGGGGCAGGGUGAGUCGACCCCUAAGGCGAGGCCGAAAGGCGUAGUCGAUGGGAAACAGGUUAAUAUUCCUGUACUUGGUGUUACUGCGAAGGGGGGACGGAGAAGGCUAUGUUAGCCGGGCGACGGUUGUCCCGGUUUAAGCAUGUAGGCUGGUUAUCCAGGCAAAUCCGGAUAAUCAAGGCUGAGGUGUGAUGACGAGGCACUACGGUGCUGAAGUAACAAAUGCCCUGCUUCCAGGAAAAGCCUCUAAGCAUCAGGUAACAUCAAAUCGUACCCCAAACCGACACAGGUGGUCAGGUAGAGAAUACCAAGGCGCUUGAGAGAACUCGGGUGAAGGAACUA